RNAcentral lists this ribosomal RNA (497 nucleotides) under uncultured bacterium. RNAcentral describes it as "partial 16S ribosomal RNA". It matches the Rfam family "Bacterial small subunit ribosomal RNA", at positions 28 to 507 of the family's 1533-position model. The record is from RNAcentral.
GAUGAACGCUGGCGGCGUGCCUAAUACAUGCAAGUCGAGCGAACAGACGAGGAGCUUGCUCCUCUGACGUUAGCGGCGGACGGGUGAGUAACACGUGGAUAACCUACCUAUAAGACUGGGAUAACUUCGGGAAACCGGAGCUAAUACCGUAUAACAUGUUGAACCGCAUGGUUCAACAGUGAAAGACGGUCUUGCUGUCACUUAUAGAUGGAUCCGCGCCGCAUUAGCUAGUUGGUAAGGUAACGGCUUACCAAGGCAACGAUGCGUAGCCGACCUGAGAGGGUGAUCGGCCACACUGGAACUGAGACACGGUCCAGACUCCUACGGGAGGCAGCAGUAGGGAAUCUUCCGCAAUGGGCGAAAGCCUGACGGAGCAACGCCGCGUGAGUGAAGAAGGUCUUCGGAUCGUAAAACUCUGUUAUUAGGGAAGAACAAAUGCGUAAGUAACUAUGCACGUCUUGACGGUACCUAAUCAGAAAGCCACGGCUAACUACGUG